AACGUAGGAGACAAACGUUAUCCGGAGUUACUGGGCGUAAAGGGCGUGUAGGUGGUUCUGUAAGUCUGGCGUGAAAUUUCUCGGCUUAACCGAGGCAGGUCGUCGGAUACUGCAGGGCUAGAGGACGGUAGAGGCGUGUGGAAUUCCGGGUGUAGUGGUGAAAUGCGUUGAUAUCAGAAGGAACGCCGGUGGCGAAAGCGACGUGCUGGAUCUCUUCUGACGCUGAGGCGCGAAAGCCAGGGGAGCAAACGGG
This 253-nucleotide ribosomal RNA is filed under the name uncultured bacterium. RNAcentral describes it as "partial 16S ribosomal RNA". It matches the Rfam family "Bacterial small subunit ribosomal RNA", at positions 524 to 776 of the family's 1533-position model. The record is from RNAcentral.